ACCUUAUGCAAGCGCUAUUGAUUAGCUUCACAACCACCUGUCUGUAAAUCAUUUUCCAUCUCUGGUUGUGAGUAAUAUCUGCAUGCUUUGUUCAUCUUCCACUUAAUGACCCUGGCUCUCCUCCUGAUUCUCAGCAGAGUGGCUCCACUGUGCACGAGGAAAUUAUGCAGUGGUCAGGCUGGAGUGAGUAAGGAAGACUCUGUCCUCCUUUAUGCUCUUCGCAGAUACCUGAGCCCUGCUCCGGGUCACAGCACGGCCAUGGCAGCGCACGAGCCCAGUCUGCUGAGAUGCUGUCGGCACUGCCAAGGGUGAGAAUUUCCACUGUGACUGUGCUUCACGGCAUCGCGUCUGUUUGCAGUUGGCAACCUGCUCUUCCAUUUUAUGGGGUUUUCCAAACCGAUGAGGCAGAUUUACUCAUCUUUCUGACUGACAGCAUUUCUGAAAGACACGCUUUCCAACCCUUCGUGGCUGGCUUCACCGGGCCCCUUGGAGAGCGAGUGCUGUUGGUUUGUGCACUGACCAGGUUCAGGUUUGUGCAUUUCAUCUCAGCAGCAGCCCUGGAGCUUUUUUUCCAAAGAUAUUUCUUCCCUUCUCCUUGCCCGUGCUCCUUUUCAUACCUUUCCUACUUUGAGAAAAGCAUCACAGUUGUGCUCUGCUGGCUUUCCCUUCCUGCGGUGUGUGUCCAGCAGCAACAGCUGGGAAGACAAGCAAUGGUGAGGGAAGGUAGAGAACUACCAUUCCAUCCUGGGCAUCCCCACUGGGCAGGCAGCUCCCCAGGAGCAGCAGCCGCCCACUCCAGGUCUUCAGUGCAAACCUGCCCGCAAGCUGCUGUUGGAGGAACAUCCAGGACAGCACUUGGGAAGGUGGGGGAACAAGACAGCCUCCUGUGCUGUCUGGGAAGAGUGAUGGCUCCAGGACCACGGCUGAUGGAGGAUGAAGGUUUGCUGUUUUCUGGUUGGAGUAUUUUUAAUAGUCUGCAUUAUUAAAUGGAAAGCAAACUACAGGUAUGGCCAUUAAUUCUGCUGGGGAAAGGACAGCCUGCCUUCUUCAAGCAUCCAGACCUGCUUCACAAUAUGUGAGGUAAAAAUAGAAAGCAGAGUACUAAAACAAAGAGGGAGUAAAGAUUAACACAGGGGACUUGGCAGCCUAAAUAU
Molecule: long non-coding RNA, 1154 nt
Filed under: Calidris pygmaea (Spoon-billed sandpiper)
Lineage: Eukaryota; Metazoa; Chordata; Aves; Charadriiformes; Scolopacidae
Description: lncRNA (ENSCPGG00000004851.1)
Source: RNAcentral